AGAACGGUCCCUUCGGGGAUUUAGUAAAGUGGCGAACGGGUGAGUAACGCGUGGAUGAUCUGCCCUCAAGUGGGGGAUAACUCGGGGAAACCCGGGCUAAUACCGCAUAAGCCCUUCGGGGGAAAAGUAUUUAUAUUGCUUGAGGAGGAGUCCGCGUCCGAUUAGCUGGUUGGUGAGGUAAGAGCUCACCAAGGCGACGAUUGGUAGCCGGUCUGAGAGGACGGACGGCCACACUGGAACUGAGACACGGUCCAGACUCCUACGGGAGGCAGCAGUGGGGAAUUUUGGGCAAUGGGGGAAACCCUGACCCAGCAACGCCGCGUGGAGGAAGAAGGUUUUCGGAUCGUAAACUCCUGUCCCGAGGGACGAAGCAAGUGACGGUACCUCGGGAGGAAGCCCCGGCUAACUCCGUGCCAGCAGCCGCGGUAAUACGGGGGGGGCAAGCGUUGUUCGGAAUUACUGGGCGUAAAGGGCGCGCAGGCGGUUUCGUCAGUCAUGGGUGAAAGCCCCGGGCUCAACCCGGGAAGGGCCUGUGAAACCAC
This 542-nucleotide ribosomal RNA is filed under the name uncultured Acidobacteriota bacterium. RNAcentral describes it as "bacterial SSU rRNA". It matches the Rfam family "Bacterial small subunit ribosomal RNA", at positions 68 to 636 of the family's 1533-position model. The record is from RNAcentral. Lineage: Bacteria; Pseudomonadati; Acidobacteriota.